RNAcentral lists this ribosomal RNA (1560 nucleotides) under Triticum aestivum (bread wheat). RNAcentral's name for it is "partial small subunit ribosomal RNA". The record is from RNAcentral. Lineage: Eukaryota; Viridiplantae; Streptophyta; Magnoliopsida; Poales; Poaceae.
AUGGAGGAACAGCUUGCGGCGCUGAUCCAGUCCGUCAACGAGGGGCGCGCCGCCAGCGACGCCAAGUUGGAGGCGAUCCAGCAGUCUAUCAAGCUGUGGCGACCGGCGGUCUCCAACCCGCAACAUCAGCUAGAUGAGCUUCGAUCUCAGGUCGGCAAAAUCGCCCUGCAUCCAGCGCUCGCGGAUCCAGACACGACGGCGGCGUCAUCGUCCGCGGCGCGACGGGCGGCGCCUCAACCUAGCGCUGGCAUCGGCCACCAUGGGCCCGCUGGCCACGGCGAGAUCCACGACUCCGGAGGCUCGGUACACGGGGUGGUCACCACCCUGGAACCGCCUCCGGUCACGGGUGCGUUUCAUUCCCCUGUUGCUUCUACAUCUAGAGAGUUGGCGUUGGGUGCUGUCGCUGAACACUCAUCACCACAUGGCGCACAGCACAGCCACUGGGUUCUGCCUAAAUUGGAUUUCCCCCAAUUCGAUGGGGAUAAUCCACAAUUUUGGCGGAUCAAGUGUGAGAAGUAUUUCGAUGUAUAUGGAGUCCAUCCAGAAUUGUGGGUUCAUGUCGCCACACUGCACUUCACCAGCAACGCCGCGCGUUGGCUGCAGCUGCAUGAUCUGAGCACUAGAUCAUUUACUUGGGAAAAAUUAUGUGAGUCUCUUUGCAGUAAGUUCGGACGCGACCAAUAUCAGGCGCAGCUUCGUCAGUUUGCCGCACUCUGCCAAACUGGGUCAGUCACAGAAUAUAUGAAUCAUUUUGAAGAGAUGAUGCACCAAUUGCUUGCACACAAUGCGGGAUUUGAUCCCCUUUACUUUACCACUAAAUUCCUAGAUGGCCUGCGUGCUGAAAUUCGUGCUGGGGUAGUACUGCAUCGACCACAAGAAUUGGAUACUGCCUUUUCCUUGGCUCUGUUGCAGGAGGAGAUUUUGGAGGCAUUGCCACAUCGCGAGUACCGGCGUCUGGAGGGUGCUCCCGGGCGAGCUCCGACGCGCCCACUGCUGGCUAAUGUCGUGCCACCCGCGCGCGUUCCACUGCCCGUUCCACAAGCUGCGGCGGAGGAUCGUCGCGGCCUCGACGCGGCUCGCGCUGGCGACCACCGACAAGACCAAGGGUGUGGCAAUGACCGAAUUGCGGCGCUGCGUAACUAUCGCCGUGCGCGAGGGCUUUGCUUUAAAUGUGGGGAGCGCUGGGGGCAAGGCCACCAGUGCGCUGCCACGGUACAGCUGCAUAUUGUGGAGGAACUACUCGACCUAUUGCAAGCCGAUGACAGAGAUCAGCAAGUGCAAGAGCAAGUGGCAGAAGAAGAGGAGCAGAUUAUGUCCAUUUCAAAACUGGCAACGACGGGGCAGACGACUCCGCGAACAGUUCGUUUGCUGGGGCUGAUUGAUGACCAGGAAGUGCUAAUUCUGGUUGAUUCUAGAAGCUCUCACAGCUUCAUCAGCGAGGCGGUAGCGGACAGAUUUGCCAACAGAAUCAGUAAGAUGACUCCAGUUUCAGUUAAGGUGGCGGAUGGUGGACUGUUGUCGUGCUCAGGUUACAUCAAGCAGUGCCAAUGGAGCACUUAG